CCUACGGGGCGCAGCAGUGGGGAAUAUUGCACAAUGGGCGCAAGCCUGAUGCAGCCAUGCCGCGUGUAUGAAGAAGGCCUUCGGGUUGUAAAGUACUUUCAGCGAGGAGGAAGGCAUUAAGGUUAAUAACCUUGGUGAUUGACGUUACUCGCAGAAGAAGCACCGGCUAACUCCGUGCCAGCGGCCGCGGUAAUACGGAGGGUGCAAGCGUUAAUCGGAAUUACUGGGCGUAAAGUGCACGCAGGCGGUCUGUCAAGUCGGAUGUGAAAUCCCCGGGCUCAACCUGGGAACUGCAUUCGAAACUGGCAGGCUAGAGUCUUGUAGAGGGGGGUAGAAUUCCAGGUGUAGCGGUGAAAUGCGUAGAGAUCUGGAGGAAUACCGGUGGCGAAGGCGGCCCCCUGGACAAAGACUGACGCUCAGGUGCGAAAGCGUGGGGAGCAAACAGGAUUAGAUACCCCGGUAG
RNAcentral lists this ribosomal RNA (463 nucleotides) under uncultured bacterium. RNAcentral's name for it is "bacterial SSU rRNA". It matches the Rfam family "Bacterial small subunit ribosomal RNA", at positions 338 to 793 of the family's 1533-position model. The record is from RNAcentral.